ACAACAUUUGGACCGUCCGUCUACCGAGCAAAUAUCACCCGCUCGGUGGAAGAUCUUCUGUCCAUCGU
Molecule: microRNA precursor, 68 nt
Filed under: Bombyx mori (domestic silkworm)
Lineage: Eukaryota; Metazoa; Arthropoda; Insecta; Lepidoptera; Bombycidae
Description: mir-2774 microRNA precursor family
Rfam family: mir-2774 microRNA precursor family
Source: Rfam by way of RNAcentral